Molecule: ribosomal RNA, 460 nt
Filed under: uncultured bacterium
Lineage: Bacteria
Description: partial 16S ribosomal RNA
Rfam family: Bacterial small subunit ribosomal RNA
Source: RNAcentral
CCUACGGGUGGCAGCAGUGAGGAAUAUUGGUCAAUGGGCGCGAGCCUGAACCAGCCAAGUAGCGUGAAGGAAGACUGCCCUACGGGUUGUAAACUUCUUUUAUAAGGGAGUAAAGUGAGGCACGCGUGCCUUUUUGUAUGUACUUUAUGAAUAAGAAUCGGCUAACUCCGUGCCAGCAGCCGCGGUAAUACGGAGGAUACGAGCGUUAUCCGGAUUUAUUGGGGUUAAAGGGAGCGUAGAUGGGUGGUUAAGUCAGUUGUGAACGUUUGCGGCUCAACCGUGAAAGUGCAAUUGAUACUGGAAGUCUUGAGUACAGUUGAGGUAGGCGGAAUUCGUGGUGUAGCGGUGAAAUGCUUAGAUAUCACGAAGAACUCCGAUUGCGAAGGCAGCUUACUAAACUGCCACUGACGUUGAGGCUCGAAAGCGUGGGGAGCAAACAGGAUUAGAUACCCGUGUAGUC